Molecule: small RNA, 520 nt
Filed under: uncultured Glomus
Lineage: Eukaryota; Fungi; Glomeromycota; Glomeromycetes; Glomerales; Glomeraceae
Description: SSU rRNA
Rfam family: Eukaryotic small subunit ribosomal RNA
Source: RNAcentral
AGCAGCCGCGGUAAUUCCAGCUCCAAUAGCGUAUAUUAAAGUUGUUGCAGUUAAAAAGCUCGUAGUUGAAUUUCGGGGUUAGUAGGUUGGUCAUGCCUCUGGUAUGUACUGGUCUCACUGAUUCCUCCUUCCUGAUGAACCUUAAUGCCAUUAAUUUGGUGUUUUGGGGAAUUUGGACUGUUACUUUGAAAAAUUAGAGUGUUUAAAGCAAGCUAACGCUUGAAUACAUUAGCAUGGAAUAAUGAAAUAGGACGUUCGAUCCUAUUUUGUUGGUUUCUAGGAUUGACGUAAUGAUUAAUAGGGAUAGUUGGGGGCAUUAGUAUUCAAUUGUCAGAGGUGAAAUUCUUGGAUUUAUUGAAGACUAACUACUGCGAAAGCAUUUGCCAAGGAUGUUUUCAUUAAUCAAGAACGAAAGUUAGGGGAUCGAAGACGAUCAGAUACCGUCGUAGUCUUAACCAUAAACUAUGCCGACUAGGGAUCGGAUGAUGUUAAUUUUUAAUGACUCAUUCGGCGCCUUACG